UUUCUAACGUAGAAAAGAUAAGUAGUAUUCUAUCACAUAAAGAGAGUUCACGUUUGGUGAGAGUGAAUUGUGAGAAAAUUCGAAUAUGGUCUUGGAGUGAUUGAUAAUGUGAGUGGUCAUUAGGUAUGAACGCAAGCAGUGUCCGGGUGCGCCCGUUAUAGCCGCGCCAAUUCUUAAUUGUAUUUCAACAAUUAAUGAUUGAUGUUGAGGUGUGCUCGCGUGAGCAGCACAUAAACACCGGGUGGUAACACGAUAAGUCGUCCCGCAG
RNAcentral lists this non-coding RNA (268 nucleotides) under Leuconostoc pseudomesenteroides. RNAcentral describes it as "T-box sequence". It matches the Rfam family "T-box leader". Rfam says of the family: Uncharged tRNA acts as the effector for transcription antitermination of genes in the T-box leader family. T-boxes are found upstream of many aminoacyl-tRNA synthetase genes and some amino acid biosynthetic genes usually in Gram-positive bacteria. The record is from RNAcentral. Lineage: Bacteria; Bacillati; Bacillota; Bacilli; Lactobacillales; Lactobacillaceae.